This 348-nucleotide ribosomal RNA is filed under the name Chrysomela tremula. RNAcentral's name for it is "partial 12S ribosomal RNA". Lineage: Eukaryota; Metazoa; Arthropoda; Insecta; Coleoptera; Chrysomelidae. The record is from RNAcentral.
UUAAAAUGUAUUUUUAUAGACUAAAUUAGUAUAAGGUAUAUUCUCAAAAAUUAAAGAUUUUGGCGGUAUUUUAGUCUAUUCAGAGGAACCUGUUCUGUGAUUGAUAAUCCACGAUUUAAUUCACUUACUAUAUUAGUUUACAUAUCGUCGUAGUUUGAAUAUUUUAUUAGAAUUUAAAUAUUCAAGAUUUAUUAUAAUAAAAAAAAUCAGAUCAAGGUGUAGUUUAUUAGUAAGAAGAAAUGGGUUACUAUAAUAAAAUUUUGGGAUGGUUACUUUUAAAGUAAUUUGAAUAAGGAUUUGACAGUAAUUUAAAUUAAUUAAUUAAAAUGAUUUAGCUCUAAAAUAUGU